Molecule: ribosomal RNA, 440 nt
Filed under: uncultured bacterium
Lineage: Bacteria
Description: partial 16S ribosomal RNA
Rfam family: Bacterial small subunit ribosomal RNA
Source: RNAcentral
CCUACGGGAGGCUGCAGUGGGGAAUAUUGCACAAUGGGGGAAACCCUGAUGCAGCGACGCCGCGUGAAGGAUGAAGUAUUUCGGUAUGUAAACUUCUAUCAGCAGGGAAGAAAAUGACGGUACCUGACUAAGAAGCCCCGGCUAACUACGUGCCAGCAGCCGCGGUAAUACGUAGGGGGCAAGCGUUAUCCGGAUGUACUGGGUGUAAAGGGAGCGUAGACGGUAUGGCAAGUCUGAUGUGAAAACCCGGGGCUCAACCCCGGGACUGCAUUGGAAACUGCCGAACUAGAGUGUCGGAGAGGCGAGUGGAAUUCCUAGUGUAGCGGUGAAAGGCGUAGAUAUUAGGAGGAACACCAGUGGCGAAGGCGGCUUGCUGGGCGAUGACUGACGUUGAGGCGCGAAAGCAUGGGGAGCGAACAGGAUUAGAUACCCGAGUAGUC